AUUGAACGCUGGCGGCAGGCCUAACACAUGCAAGUCGAGCGAGCGGCGGACGGGGGAGUAAUGUAUGAGGAACUGCCCGAUGGAGGGGGAUAACUACUGGAAACGGUGGCUAAUACCGCAUACUCCCAGAUGUGCCCAGAUGGGAUUGGCUAGUAGGUGGGGUAAUGGCUCACCCAGGCGACGAUCCCUAGCUGGUCUGAGAGGAUGAUCAGCCACACUGGGAAUGAGACACGGUCCAGACUCCUACGGGAGGCAGCAGUGGGGAAUAUUGCACAAUGGGCGCAAGCCUGAUGCAGCCAUGCCGCGUGUAUGAAGAAGGCCUUAGGGUUGUAAAGCACUUUCAGUGGGGAGGCGUUACCCGCAGAAGAAGCACCGGCUAACUCCGUGCCAGCAGCCGCGGUAAUUC
Molecule: ribosomal RNA, 406 nt
Filed under: uncultured bacterium
Lineage: Bacteria
Description: partial 16S ribosomal RNA
Rfam family: Bacterial small subunit ribosomal RNA
Source: RNAcentral